Long non-coding RNA from Homo sapiens (human), 865 nucleotides. Ensembl annotates it as long intergenic non-protein coding RNA 2646. The record is from Ensembl. NCBI's taxonomy places the organism in Eukaryota, Metazoa, Chordata, Mammalia, Primates, Hominidae.
UGAGUGCUUCCCUGGUGCUGGGCUCUGUGUUGAAGACUCAGAUCCUCCGUCUUGGGGUCUCGUCAUUAUUUGAGUGCUUCCUCGGUGCUGGGCUCUGUGCUGAAGACUCAAAUCCUCCGUCUUGGGGUCUUGUCAUUAUUUGAGUGCUUCCUCGGUGCUGGGCUCUGUGUUGAAGACUGAAAUCCUCCGUCUUGGGGUCUCGUCAUUAUUUGAGCGCUUCCUCGGUGCUGGGCUGUGUGCUGAAGACUCAAAUCCUCCGUCUUGGGGUCUCGUCAUUAUUUGAGUGCUUCCUUGGUGCUGGGCUCUGUGCUGAAGACUCAAAUCCUCCAUCCUGAGGGCCCUUCUGCAUAGAGGCUUGUCCCUAUCCUGCAGCAGAGGGGCUUCUUCACAUAUGAACGGACACAGAAACAUCGGCACAGGCUUCCUUUGAUUGAAACUCCUACUUGGUUCUUUUCUGGAUCUCAAGAAGUGGAUGGUUGUCAGCUCUUGGGAGCAGAUGCAGGUGCAGGAGAGGAGUCGCGUUGCCUGGGGGUUCCAGCGGACUUGGUUCAGGUGGCAUGAUGUCAUUUUGUCAUUAGGCACCACCGUGGGGACUGCAUGUUGUCAAUGGACCCACUAUGCUCAUGAUGCUCCUUAUCGAGUUCUACCCUGUGCAGCUCCCAGGCCCUGCUGCUGGGGCAGUCGCCUGGGGCCCCUCACCAUCUGACGGCUGUCACCGCAGGCCAGGAUGUGCACUCUCAACAGCCCAGGCUUUGAGGGCUGCUCUGGAGUAUGAUGGAUACUGUAGCUGUUCGCUUUUGAAAAAGAAAGACCUGUGGCGAGAGCAUUUCCUUCUCUAAGUAAACACCUGACUGGGUCCUGUUCA